This 468-nucleotide ribosomal RNA is filed under the name uncultured bacterium. RNAcentral's name for it is "partial 16S ribosomal RNA". It matches the Rfam family "Bacterial small subunit ribosomal RNA", at positions 28 to 507 of the family's 1533-position model. The record is from RNAcentral.
GACGAACGCUGGCGGCGUGCUUAACACAUGCAAGUCGAACGGAAAGGCCCUGCUUUUGUGGGGUGCUCGAGUGGCGAACGGGUGAGUAACACGUGAGUAACCUGCCCUUGACUUUGGGAUAACUUCAGGAAACUGGGGCUAAUACCGGAUAGGAGCUCCUGCUGCAUGGUGGGGGUUGGAAAGUUUCGGCGGUUGGGGAUGGACUCGCGGCUUAUCAGCUUGUUGGUGGGGUAGUGGCUUACCAAGGCUUUGACGGGUAGCCGGCCCGAGAGGGUGACCGGGCACCUUGGGACUGAGAGACGGACCAGACUCCUACGGGAGGCAGCAGUGGGGAAUAUUGCACAAUGGGCGGAAGCCUGAUGCAGCAACGCCGCGUGCGGGAUGACGGCCUUCGGGUUGUAAACCGCUUUCGCCUGUGACGAAGCGUGAGUGACGGUAAUGGGUAAAGAAGCACCGGCUAACUACGUG